GUAUUUAAUAAAAAAGUGUAGCAACUCCAGCAAAACAAAACAAAAAGUUGGAGGUAUCUCAGCACCGAGGAAUGAAACAGGAGGAGCGCUGAAUGGAGCGACAUCUCUACACAAGCUCUGAAAAAUGAAAACUUGUCUCCUCUCUGUGGUUCCUGUGCAUUCAUCUGGGUUCAGGACCGGAUUGGUAUAAUCAGUGGCUUUGAUUUGCGACUCUGUUUCAUGCACUUGAGGAAUCAUUGGAACUGUAGAUCUUCUUCCUCCUUUUAACUGCAUGCAAUGGCACUGAAUAAUUAAUGAUGCUUUUGUUAAACAGUGGUGAAAUCACACCUGCAGGAUGCUAACUACAUGUGUAAUCUUAUCCAGUAGAUGGUAUCAUCUUGACUGGAACCCUGAACAUCACUGUAAUAAUUGGAACUAGCUAGCUCUGUGAAAAUUAUUACCUUACAAGCUUCCAAGAGGAAUCAAGACAAAAGCAAAAAAAAAAAUAAUAAUAAUACGUUCUCCUUUUUGUAACAGAAUAUUUGUACCAGAUUAAAUGAACAAAUGAUGUUACUGUGCAAUGUAUCCUUUUUGAAUGAAGCCAGUGAGCUCUUAGUAUAAUAAUAAUAAUGAUAGUUUGUGUGUUACUUAUCAAGUUCUGGAUCUUAACUGUAAUGCUAUAGUUUUAAAGUGGUUCUUAAGGGUUCUUAUCAAUGCCUGUGUGACCCAUUCUCCAAUACUUUGUCAAUGCAUAUUGGGGCAUGGUGUGGAGUAGUGGUUAGGGCUCUGGACUCUUGACCGGAGGGUCGUGGGUUCAAUCCCUGGUAGGGGACACUGCUGCUGUACCCUUGAGCAAGGUACUUUACCUAGAUUGCUCCAGUAAAAACCCAACUGUAUAAAUGGGCAAUUGUAUGUAAAAAAUAAUGUGAUAUCUUGUAACAAUUGUAAGUCGCCCUGGAUAAGGGCGUCUGCUAAGAAAUAAUAAUAAUCAUUCAUCAUGAAACAAGGAGGAGUGUAACUCAAGCGGUCUACCAUUCCACAUGGGGACUGUGAUGGAAACAUACUGCACUUUGAACAUUCAUUUGAAUGACUGCAGUUCCAAUAGUAGCCAUGACAAUAGUAAUAUCAUACUUUUUAACACUUGCUAUCAAAUUGUAGAUUAAAGACUUUCUUUCUUUCUUUCUUUCUUUCUUUCUUUCUUUCUUAGCUAUUCACUUAUUUACCUACACAAGCACACUCCCUAUAUAAACUGUAGGUUUAAGAUUUAUUUUCAUUUUUAAUCCCAGCCUCUGUCCCCUGCCUGCCCUUAUAAUCCUCUGGCAUGUGCUAGUGACAUCACAGGGCUGCGGGCUCCCGUCCAGUCCCCUGUGACUGUCAUUAACCACUGUGAACAAAUGAAAAAUGACUGGGAGACUCAGUGGCUCCCACCACUGACCUUGGGUAUUAUUAGAAUGACCUCCCUUUGGCUUGACCAAAAAAAAACCUUUUGCUAUCAUCCACAGAGCGCUGGAGGAGCAGCGUGAACAGUGUUAUGCAAGCCUAUAGCCUGGCCCCCAUUUGCUUAUAAAUACUUAAUCAGUAGACACAACUUGAACUGUUGUGCACAGGAGACAGUGACCCUCUUUAGCAGCAAUGAACAAUAUUGUGGUUAUGGGUUCCAACUCAGUUCAAAGAAAUGUCAUUUUAUACUGUACUACGGGUUUAACUGUUUGUGAGCUGCCAUUGGGUAGUCUCUCUGCUGUAAACUGAUAACAACAAAACAGAUACAUUAACAUAUAUAUAUAUAUAUAGAGAGAGAGAGAGAGAGAGAGAGAGAGAGAGAGAGAGAGAGAGAGAGAGAGAGAUAGAUAGAUAGCAGUAGAGCCUGAUAUUGAUGUGAUGCACCUAUCUAAAAUGUAUUGUAUCAGGGAGUUUAUAUCAGAUGGAAAUGUGCUCACAUUACGAUCAACACUGCUGUUGCUAUUCUUAUUUAGCUAUAUAUUAUAAAAGAUACAGUCUAGGGUACUUUAUAGGGCAGCAGUAUGGAGUAGUGGUUAGGGCUCUGGACUCUUGACCGGAGGGUCAUGGGUUCAAUCCCCAGUGGGGGACACUGCUGUUGUACCCUUGAGCAAGGUACUUUACCUAGAUUGCUCCAGUAAAAACCCGACUGUAUAAAUGGGUAAUUGUAUGUCAAAAAAAAUAAUGUGAUAUCUGUAUAAUGUGAAAUAAUGUAUAAUGUGAUAUCUUGUAACAAUUGUAAGUCGCACUGGAUAAGGGCGUCUGCUAAGAAAUAAAUAAAUAAAUAAAUAAUAAA
Acipenser ruthenus (sterlet) is the source of this 2272-nucleotide long non-coding RNA. RefSeq lists it as uncharacterized. Lineage: Eukaryota; Metazoa; Chordata; Actinopteri; Acipenseriformes; Acipenseridae. The transcript has 2 exons. The record is from RefSeq and is a predicted model, not a curated record.